ACCCCGAUAGCUUAAAUUUAUAGAGCAUAGCACUGAAGAUGCUUCACCCUGAAGCAUAUUUUAUUAUAACU
This 71-nucleotide transfer RNA is filed under the name Charonia lampas. RNAcentral describes it as "tRNA-Phe". The record is from RNAcentral. Lineage: Eukaryota; Metazoa; Mollusca; Gastropoda; Littorinimorpha; Ranellidae.